GAUCCUGACUCAGGAUGAACGCUGGCGGCGUGCCUAACACAUGCAAGUCGAACGAAGCAAUUAGAAAGAAGUUUUCGGAUGGAUUUCUGGUUGACUGAGUGGCGGACGGGUGAGUAACGCGUGGAUAACCUGCCUCACACUGGGGGAUAACAGUUAGAAAUGGCUGCUAAUACCGCAUAAGCGCACAGUACCGCAUGGUACGGUGUGAAAAACUCCGGUGGUGUGAGAUGGAUCCGCGU
This 239-nucleotide ribosomal RNA is filed under the name uncultured bacterium. RNAcentral's name for it is "partial 16S ribosomal RNA". It matches the Rfam family "Bacterial small subunit ribosomal RNA", at positions 15 to 236 of the family's 1533-position model. The record is from RNAcentral.